Molecule: ribosomal RNA, 253 nt
Filed under: uncultured bacterium
Lineage: Bacteria
Description: partial 16S ribosomal RNA
Rfam family: Bacterial small subunit ribosomal RNA
Source: RNAcentral
GACAGAGGGUGCAAACGUUGUUCGGAAUUACUGGGCGUAAAGCGCGUGUAGGCGGUUGCCCAAGUCGGGUGUGAAAGCCUUGAGCUCAACUCAAGAAUUGCACUCGAUACUUGGUGACUAGAGGACCGGAGAGGAAAGUGGAAUUCCUGGUGUAGCGGUGAAAUGCGCAGAUAUCAGGAAGAACACCAAUGGCGAAAGCAGCUUUCUGGGACGGUACUGACGCUGAGACGCGAAAGCGUGGGGAGCGAACAGG